AAAAUGGGUUUCUUAGGUUUAUUUCCAGCAAACUUGUUUCAUAGUCAUUUUACAGAAGACCAGCACCAACACCAUUAACCAAUUCAAACAAAGCAAGAAACGAACGCAUACAUGGAGAAGAUCCCAUUAACAACUGUAUGAAUUUGGAUCAUACAUGAAUUAUUGAAAUUUUGUGAUACCAGGCCCACAUCAGUAAUCUUUCUUCCCAAAGUUUUUGCACCAGAGCUGCGAAGGAAUCGGGCGAACAGGAAGAUGAGGUCGUUGCUCAAGCUCGGCGGAUUUGAUGGCGAUGGGGAUGCAGACGAGGAAGAUGCCGAACAUCGCGAUGGCGGUGUUGCGCUUCCAGUGAACGGGCCGGCAGUAGGGCCCGCCCGUCAGGCUCCAGACCUUGGUCCGGAAAUCGGCAUGCUCCGCCGCUCCGUGGCCGUGAUCGCCGCCGCCGCCCAUCGCCGGGAU
Molecule: unclassified non-coding RNA, 456 nt
Filed under: Hevea brasiliensis (rubber tree)
Lineage: Eukaryota; Viridiplantae; Streptophyta; Magnoliopsida; Malpighiales; Euphorbiaceae
Source: RNAcentral